Molecule: ribosomal RNA, 891 nt
Filed under: Bipalium vagum
Lineage: Eukaryota; Metazoa; Platyhelminthes; Tricladida; Geoplanidae
Description: SSU rRNA
Rfam family: Eukaryotic small subunit ribosomal RNA
Source: RNAcentral
UAUCUCUUGAAAUGGCUGACCUAUCAACUUUCGAUGGUAAAAUCAAAGUUUACCAUGGUUAUAACGGGUAACGGGGAAUCAGUGUUCGAUUCCGGAGAGGGAGCCUGAGAAACGGCUACCACAUCCACGGAAGGCAGCAGGCGCGCAAAUUACCCAAUACCGGCUCGGUGAGGUAGUGACAAUAAAUAACAAUAUGGACCCUAGUGGUUUCAUAAUUGCAAUGAGAACAGUUUAAAUACUUUAUCAAGUAUCAAUUGGAGGGCAAGUCUGGUGCCAGCAGCCGCGGUAAUUCCAGCUCCAAUAGCGUAUAUUAAAGUUGUUGCAGUUAAAAAGCUCGUAGUUGAAAUUGGGGAAUUGAAUAGCAUGUCGAUCUUUGAUCAAUUGUUAUUUAGUCCUUCGUGGUCGUGUAUAUCAGUUGAGUUCUUUAUUGAAUUUGAUUGAUAACCGACAAGUUUACUUUGAAAAAAUUAGAGUGCUUAAAGCAAGCUUAUGCUUGUAUAUUGUUGCAUGGAAUAAUGAAAUAAGACUUCGGUUUUAUUUUGUUGGUUUUCGAAACUGAAGUAAUGAUUAAAAGAGACUGCCGGGGGCAUAUGUAUGCUGGUGCUAGAGGUGAAAUUCUUAGACCAUCAGCAGACAAACUACUGCGAAAGCAUUUGCCAAGAAUGUUUUCAUUAAUCAAGAACGAAAGUCAGAGGAUCGAAGACGAUCAGAUACCGUCCUAGUUCUGACCAUAAACUAUGCCAACUGACAGUUAGCUAAGGAAAUUUAUUACUCCUUGCUAGAAGUCACCGGGAAACCUAAGUCUAUGGGUUCCGGGGGAAGUAUGGUUGCAAAGCUGAAACUUAAAGGAAUUGACGGAAGGGCACCACCAGGAGUGGAGCCUGCGGCUUA